AGUACCUGCCCACAAAGGCCCACGGAGCCAUGGCUUCUUCCCAGUGGUGAUCCCUGAUGGGCUGGAAGGUGACCGAACCGCUUGUCCUUUAUAAGCUGGGCUUGCUGCUUGCCGUUGAGGAAGAGCUUGUCAUGGGUGUCAGCGUUUAAAAGUGGAAUUAGAGACGGGGUUUCACCGUGUUGGCCAGGAUGGUCUCCAUCUCUUGACGUCGUGAUCCACCCGCCUCGGCCUCCCAAAGUGCUGGGAUUACAGGCGUGAGCCACCGCACCCGGCCGAUAUUACAAAAUCUUUCCUGAGGCUGGAAGUCCAGAAGUCGGGGUGCUGGCAGGACGUGCUCUUCUGAAGCCUCCAGGGCAGGGCCAGCCGCAUGCCCGUCUCCUCGCUUGGGCACCUGCCAGCGGUCCCCGGCGGUCCCCGGCUCAUUGCUGCAUGGCUCCAACGUCCGCCUCUCCCACCAUGUGGCCUCCUCCUGGUGUCUCUGUGUCCAAAUCUCCCGCUCUGUCUAAGGAUAACAGUCACUGGUCAUGGGACCCAUCCUAAUCCAGGGUGACCUCGUAUUAACCUCAUCACAUCUGCAAAGACUAUUUCCAAGUCAAGCCACACUCCCAGCUGCUGGGGGCGGGACUUGAACAUAUUUUUUGUGGGGACACAAUUCCCCUCUCAGGUUUUAAGAUUUGUCUUUAUCAUUAAAGUUUUCAAAACUAA
This is a long non-coding RNA of Homo sapiens (human), 705 nucleotides long. RefSeq lists it as uncharacterized. The record is from RefSeq and is a predicted model, not a curated record. The transcript is spliced from 3 exons. NCBI's taxonomy places the organism in Eukaryota, Metazoa, Chordata, Mammalia, Primates, Hominidae.